This is an RNA transcript of Prionailurus viverrinus (fishing cat), 2688 nucleotides long. It is a transcript of the gene named palmitoyltransferase ZDHHC11-like, with no coding region annotated. The record is from RefSeq and is a predicted model, not a curated record. Lineage: Eukaryota; Metazoa; Chordata; Mammalia; Carnivora; Felidae. The transcript is spliced from 12 exons.
CCGGCUCACCAGCGCCCACGUGGCUGGCGGUGCCCGGCCGCAGCCACUCCCGGUGACGGAAUCGUGUCGUUCGUAACACGGUGCCUUUCUGUGCUCCAACCCCCGGGGUGCUGGCCUCGCCGUCCAUGUGGGAUGGUCUCUGUGGUCCCCCAGGGGUCUCACUGAUCAGAUGGAUCUGUGCGGCCGGAGCCAGAGAGGGGCCCUGCGGGAAGCCAGCAGGAAGCAGGCCUCGCCCCGCCGCUGGUCCAGAGUGAAUGGCUGGUCGUGGCCCCUGCACACCUUCCAGGCGGUGGCCUGGACCACGCUGUUCAUCUUGGCCUUCGCCAACUUCGGUAUCUUCGUCCCCUUGCUGCCGCCUAACUGGAACUUGGUCAUCUAUGGUGUGACUGGUGGGCUUUUCUGUUUCCACUUCGUGGUCCACUUGCUUGCAAUUUCCAUCGAUCCUGCUGAAACCAACGUACGGCUCAAGAACUACUCGGAGCCCGUACCCACCUUCGACCCAUCCAAACACACGCAUGUCAUCGAGAACCAAUAUUGCCACCUGUGUGAGAUCACCGUGAACAGGAAGGCUAAACACUGUAGGGCCUGCAACAAGUGUGUAUCUGACUUUGACCACCACUGCAAAUGGCUUAACAACUGUGUAGGGGGCAGGAAUUACAGGUAUUUCUUCUGCUCCUUGGUCUCUGCCUCGGCCAGCCUGCUCUGCCUGAUCACCAUCCUGCUGUACGUCUUCAUCCAGUACUUUGUCAACCCGGAGGUGCUGCGCACUCAUCCCCUCUAUGAAGACGUCUCCAAGGACACUUGGCUGCUGUUCCUUCCUUUGUUCCCUGUAAAGACGAAGACCCUGGUGGUCCUGGGCAUUGGGGUGUUCGUCCUGCUGCUGUCCGCCCUCAGCCUCCUGCUGCUUGGACACCUGCUCAUCUUCCACCUCUUCUUAAUGUUCAAGAAGUUGAGCACGUAUGAGUAUGUGACACAGAACCGCUGUCAAAAGACUCCAAAAGUUCCAGCAGGGAGGAAAGAGCUGUCCUUCAAAAUAAGCAUGCCACAGAGUGAAGUGCAACCAUCUGCUGCCGGACGUGCACUCUGGUCCACCCUCCUCCGCCAACACGUUCGUGGAGGACUCGUGGGUGAUGGAGAUAGCCAGCAGCCUGACUUCGUCUGCCCUCAGGGCACUGUGAUGACGUGAUCGAAGACAAGCCAGUUUCCCUCGACGUCACAGACGCGGACAGCCACCCGAAGGGCUCGCCGAACUCCGCUCGCUGGAGCUUGCGAUGAGACCUCUCUAGGCUCUUCACAAGUAAUGUGUGAGCCAGCGCACAGUUGUGAGCGAUGCCCGUGGACUUUCUGUCUGUGAGCACGUGCCGCGUGCAGAGGGCGCCGCGGUCCAUGACCGUGUGCGGCAGAGGCAGGGCUCUCCAUGUGCCAGGUGGGUGACCGCACCUCGCAGGCCCCUGGGGAGCACACGGCCUCUGCCCCUCCUGUGCCACAGAGGCAGAGAGUGGCCCCUUUCACAUCGUGGCCCAGCUUCAAGCGCACAUUUUAGAGAGUAAAUCAGGCGUAGCGGAACACGGUGACUCCCAUCCCCGCGACAAGACGUCGUCUUCUCCUGGAGUGUGAGUAACAGGAGGCCACACAGCACCCAUGUCAGCGAGGUCCGUGCCGUCUCCCCUACGUUUCCCUGAGCACACGGUGAGCACAGGCUCCCUCUGUUUCUGGAAGGAUGGUCCUGGGGAACAUUUCACAGCUGUAAGUGUCUGAAUAUUGUAUCCUCACUUCACAACCUCAGUAACUUUGCACCAAGUGCCCUUUAAUGCAUUUGAAGUGAAAUUAAAAAGGGCAAGUUAUUUACUUGAAUGUCACCCACCACAUACACACACACAGACCUCCUGCUCUGGCCCGCAGGGACUGUUGCAGAAAAUGUUUCUUUGGUAACCAAAGAGUUUGGACCCAGUUGAGCAGCUAGCGCUUUAGACACCUUCCGUGGCCUGCUCCUGAGGCCUCACCCGAGUCUCAGUCCUCGAGGCCCACCCACCAGGGGCCCCCCUGGGACGUCGAUCACAGGGAAACCUUGUAGGACUUCAUACAGCCCGUGUUCCUCGCGGUCGCUGGCAGACAAACUUAUUGGGAGUACUUCUUCCCGGCUGUUUAUCUGUCUAGGGUGUCCGGUCUGCUGGUUAUGUACAAAUCAGCCAAGCAGUGAACAUAUGAAUAAGGGGGAGGGUCCGUCGUGCAGGUGAAGCUGCUUCUGUCUGGUUUUAAAGGCAUUUCUGUCGGCAGAAAUCCACCGGGUGGCUUGUUUUAGUUUUCCACUGGUGGUGGAAGCCUGCAGCGUCCUUCUCGCAUGAACCUUCUGCGUGUUUAUGGCGCGGGACCCCCUCUGGCACUCAGCCUCCAGGCGCUGCCUGCUCCCGAGACUGCAGAUAAGAGGGGGCCCCAGCGGGGAGACGUCCACGGGCACCGUGGAGCCUGCAGGGUCCCCACGCACUAGCCCGCCCGGCGAGGGCCUGCCCUGGAACGUGCUCCUUCUUCCCCGCUCUGCCCUAGCGGACCCGGGAGCCAGGUGUUCCUGUCGCCAUCCGGUGAUCCAGUGACCUCACCCUACACUCCACCUUGGCCUCCGGCACAGAGGACCACCUGCGGUGAAGGUCUCAAAGGACCAACAGGAAAUGAGGUUGCCUGUGAAAGCAG